UAGCUAUAUCAAGGUUUAGUGCAUGGAA
Molecule: non-coding RNA, 28 nt
Filed under: Mus musculus (house mouse)
Lineage: Eukaryota; Metazoa; Chordata; Mammalia; Rodentia; Muridae
Source: RNAcentral